AAUGAACGUUGGCGGCGUGGAUUAGGCAUGCAAGUCGAGCGAGAAGGUUUAGAAAGAUACUUCGGUUGAUUUCUAAACUGGACAGCGGCGAAAGGGAGAGUAACAGGUAGAUACGUACCCAGAGGAUCGGGAUAGCUGCGGGAAACUGCAGGUAAUACCGAAUAAUGUCUCCGGACCAAAAAUUUAUUGCCUUUGGAUCGGUCUGCUUACUAUUAGCUUGUUGGUGGGGUAAAGGCCUACCAAGGCAAAGAUGGUUAGCGGGUGUGAGAGCAUGGCCCGUCUCACUGGGACUGAGACACUGCCCAGACACCUACGGGUGGCUGCAGUCGAGAAUCUUCCGCAAUGGACGAAAGUCUGACGGAGCGACGCCGCGUGCGGGAUGAAGGCCUUCGGGUUGUAAACCGCUGUCAGAGGGAGCAAAUUUUGAGCGAUCCUCAGAGGAAGCACAGGCUAAG
RNAcentral lists this ribosomal RNA (455 nucleotides) under uncultured bacterium. RNAcentral describes it as "bacterial SSU rRNA". It matches the Rfam family "Bacterial small subunit ribosomal RNA", at positions 29 to 501 of the family's 1533-position model. The record is from RNAcentral.